UUAUACGGCGAAACUGCGAAUGGCUCAUUAAAUCAGUUAUCGUUUAUUUGAUAGUACCUUAUUACUUGGAUAACCGUGGUAAUUCUAGAGCUAAUACAUGCUAAAAAGUCCCGACUCACGGAGGGAUGUAUUUAUUAGAUUAAAAACCAAUGCCCCUCGGGGCUUGUAGGUGAUUCAUGAUAACUUCUCGAAUCGCAUGGCCUUGCGCCGGCGAUGGUUCAUUCAAAUUUCUGCCCUAUCAACUUUCGAUGGCAGGGUCUUGGCCUGCCAUGGUUUCAACGGGUAACGGAGGGUUAGGGCUCGACCCCGGAGAAGGAGCCUGAGAAACGGCUACUACAUCCAAGGAAGGCAGCAGGCGCGCAAAUUACCCAAUCCCGACACGGGGAGGUAGUGACAAUAAAUACUGAUACAGGGCUCUUUUGGGUCUUGUAAUUGGAAUGAGUACAAUUUAAAUCCCUUAACGAGGAACAAUUGGAGGGCAAGUCUGGUGCCAGCAGCCGCGGUAAUUCCAGCUCCAAUAGCGUAUAUUAAAGUUGUUGCAGUUAAAAAGCUCGUAGUUGAACCUUGGGCCUGGCUGGCCGGUCCGCCUCACCGCGUGCACUGGUUCGGCCGGGCCUUUCCCUCUGGGGAGCCCUAUGCCCUUCACUGGGUGUAGCGGGGAACCAGGACGUUUACUGUGAAAAAAUUAGAGUGUUCAAAGCAGGCAUAUGCUCGAAUACAUCAGCAUGGAAUAAUAGAAUAGGACGUGUGGUUCUAUUUUGUUGGUUUCUAGGACCGCCGUAAUGAUUAAUAGGGACAGUCGGGGGCAUCAGUAUUCAAUUGUCAGAGGUGAAAUUCUUGGAUCUAUUGAAGACUAACUACUGCGAAAGCAUUUGCCAAGGAUGUUUUCAUUAAUCAGGAACGAAAGUUAGGGGAUCGAAGACGAUCAGAUACCGUCGUAGUCUUAACCAUAAACUAUGCCGACUAGGGAUCGGACGAUGUUAUUUUUUGACUCGUUCGGCACCUUACGAGAAAUCAAAGUCUUUGGGU
RNAcentral lists this ribosomal RNA (1029 nucleotides) under Arthroderma chinense. RNAcentral describes it as "SSU rRNA". It matches the Rfam family "Eukaryotic small subunit ribosomal RNA", at positions 74 to 1112 of the family's 1831-position model. The record is from RNAcentral. Lineage: Eukaryota; Fungi; Ascomycota; Eurotiomycetes; Onygenales; Arthrodermataceae.